GAUGAACGCUGGCGGCGUGCCUAAUACAUGCAAGUCGAGCGAACAGGCGAGGAGCUUGCUCCUCUGACGUUAGCGGCGGACGGGUGAGUAACACGUGGAUAACCUACCUAUAAGACUGGGAUAACUUCGGGAAACCGGAGCUAAUACCGGAUAAUAUAUUGAACCGCAUGGUUCAAUAGUGAAAGACGGUUUUGCUGUCACUUAUAGAUGGAUCCGCGCCGCAUUAGCUAGUUGGUAAGGUAACGGCUUACCAAGGCAACGAUGCGUAGCCGACCUGAGAGGGGGAUAGGCCACACUGGAACUGAGACACGGUCCAGACUCCUACGGGAGGCAGCAGUAGGGAAUCUUCCGCAAUGGGCGAAAGCCUGACGGAGCAACGCCGCGUGAGUGAUGAAGGUCUUCGGAUCGUAAAACUCUGUUAUUAGGGAAGAACAAAUGUGUAAGUAACUAUGCACGUCUUGACGGUACCUAAUCAGAAAGCCACGGCUAACUACGUG
Molecule: ribosomal RNA, 497 nt
Filed under: uncultured bacterium
Lineage: Bacteria
Description: partial 16S ribosomal RNA
Rfam family: Bacterial small subunit ribosomal RNA
Source: RNAcentral